This 78-nucleotide transfer RNA is filed under the name Candidatus Woesearchaeota archaeon. Its description in RNAcentral is "tRNA-Lys". It matches the Rfam family "tRNA". From Rfam's summary of the family: Transfer RNA (tRNA) molecules are approximately 80 nucleotides in length. Their secondary structure includes four short double-helical elements and three loops (D, anti-codon, and T loops). Lineage: Archaea; Nanobdellati; Candidatus Woesearchaeota. The record is from RNAcentral.
GGGCGGUAGCUCAACUCGGUAGAGCAUUCGGCUUUUAACCGAAUGGUUGCGGGUUCAAAAAUUGCGGGCUUCCGCCCG